UCGCGGUGUUUUUUCGCCAUGCAUCCUUGGUUUAGAAGUUUUGGAUCCUGGCUCCGGACGAACGCUGGCGGCGUGCCUAAUACAUGCUAGUCGAGCGAACCGAUGGAGUGCUUGCAUUCCUGAGGUUAGCGGCGGACGGGUGAGUAACACGUAGGCAACCUGCCUGUACGACCGGGAUAACUCCGGGAAACCGGAGCUAAUACCGGAUAGGAUGCCGAACCGCAUGGUUCGGCAUGGAAAGGCCUUUGAGCCGCGUACAGAUGGGCCUGCGGCGCAUUAGCUAGUUGGUGGGGUAACGGCCUACCAAGGCGACGAUGCGUAGCCGACCUGAGAGGGUGAACGGCCACACUGGGACUGAGACACGGCCCAGACUCCUACGGGAGGCAGCAGUAGGGAAUCUUCCGCAAUGGACGAAAGUCUGACGGAGCAACGCCGCGUGAGUGAGGAAGGUCUUCGGAUCGUAAAACUCUGUUGUCAGGGAAGAACCGCCGGGAUGACCUCCCGGUCUGACGGUACCUGACGAGAAAGCCCCGGCUAACUACGUUGCCAGCAGCCGCGGUAAUACGUAGGGGGCAAGCGUUGUCCGGAAUUAUUGGGCGUAAAGCGCGCGCAGGCGGCUUCUUAAGUCAGGUGUGAAAGCCCACGGCUCAACCGUGGAGGGCCAUCUGAAACUGGGGAGCUUGAGUGCAGGAGAGGAGAGCGGAAUUCCACGUGUAGCGGUGAAAUGCGUAGAGAUGUGGAGGAACACCAGUGGCGAAAGCGGCUCUCUGGUCUGUACCUGACGCUGAGGCGCGAAGCGUGGUGGAGCAAACAGGAUUAGAUACCCUGAUAGUCCACGCCGUAAACGAUGAGUUGCUAAGGUGUUGGGGGAGUCCGCCCUCCUCAGUGCCGCAGCUAACGCA
Molecule: ribosomal RNA, 902 nt
Filed under: uncultured Aneurinibacillus sp.
Lineage: Bacteria; Bacillati; Bacillota; Bacilli; Caryophanales; Paenibacillaceae
Description: bacterial SSU rRNA
Rfam family: Bacterial small subunit ribosomal RNA
Source: RNAcentral